AAGUAAGGCCAAACCAAGAAAAGCACAUUUUGGAGUUCCCGUUGUGGCUCAGCAGGUUGAGAACCUGGCAUAGGUUAAGGAUCUGGCGUUGGGUAGGCAGGCAGCUGCAGCUCUGAUUUGACACCUAGCCCAGGAGCUUCCACGUGCAGGAGAUGUAGCCCAAAAAAGGAAAAAAGGAGGGGGAAGAAAAAGCACAUAUUUGGGUACUUUUGGACCAUUUCUUUGAAUGGUGAUCCAGGGAAUCUGAGUUGGAGUUGAAUUCCCAAGGUGAAAUUUCCAGAGAAAGAAAUGUCUUUCUGUCCUCGGCUGCGGGGGGCGGGGUGGGGGGCGUGUAGAGUCAUUCUGUCAGGGGUGGAGGACAACUAAUUAAAUAUUGUCAGGUCAGGCAGGCCAACAGGAUGGACGAUGCAGCCAGACUGCUGACUGGCCAGGUUUGAUGUGUAAAUGGAUCCAGUCUAGCGUUUCCGUCUGUUUGCAAAGGCAAAACCAGAGAGGGAUGUCCCACAGCACCAACCACUGAGAAGAAGGUGUUUGCCUUCUUUGUCCCAGGUGUUUUACAGGUGCUGUUACACUUUUUUUUUUUUUCUUUUUACACCUGUGCCUGCAGCAUACUAGCCUAGCCUAGCACCUAGGCCAGCUAGCAUAGCACCUAGCAGCUAACUUAGCACAUACCACCCAGCCUAGCACCUAGCAGCUAGCUAGCAUAGCACCUAGCAUCUAGCCUACACUCUAGCACCAAGCAGCUAGCUUACUGCAGCUCUGAUUCAACCCCUAGCCUGGGAACUUCCAUAGGCUAUGGGUGCAGCCCUAAAAAGCAAAAACAAACAAAUAAACAAGCCAAAAAUUUUUUUAAUUUAAUUUUUAAUUUUUAUUGAUCUCUCAGUUUCUUUUGCAGAUGCAGAGAAUGAAAACAGAAAUGAAUUUCAGUUCUGGUUUAUAAUUAUUGUGCUGUAACGUGAGCAGCGGUUCUCUAAACGCAGGAUCUGUACAAGCAGGACUACCCGGCAACAGGUUGGGAUGCAGAUUCCUGGGCACCCCCAGAACCCCUGACUCAGAAACCGUGAAGGUGGGGCCCAGGCAUCUACAUGAAUAACCCCUCCAGUGAUCCUGACACAAAGCAAAGCUUAACAAAAAGCUCGUCAUUAUUUAUUACUGAUUAUAGCAACGUCAUUAUAAAUUCAACAAAAAGAAACCAUGGAAUUGCACAUUUUUUGGUCUGUUCUCAUACCUGCUGUUCCACAAGAUAGAUUAGUUUUGAUUACUGGUUCUAUAUGCAUAUCCAAUCUCUUGUGACAGACCAUGAUGGAGCAUAGUAUGAGAAAAGAAUAUAUAUAUAUGAAUAUAUGAAUAUAUAUAUAUGACUGAGUGACUUUGCUGUGCAGCAGAACUAAGCACAACAUUGUAGGUCAACCAUAAUUAAAAAAAUUUUUAAGUAAAAAGAAACAACGCCCCCCCCCCAUAAAUCCUGGACUCACUCCACUGAAAACGGAAUUCUGAAACUCUAUCUCCUGCUUUUUGCCCUUCGGCUUCUGCAGAAACAUUAGAUCCCAGAAAAAAAUCUUUGCAGCUGAGUUGCCAACGUUGUGGAUUAUUCUGAAGGAGGGAGGUUACACCAUUUCAGGUGCUGGAUGAUGCCCCAUGGUCCUGGGCAGCCUGACGCCCACAGUAAUUGGCCAGCACCCUGACUCAGAAAAGAAACAGGAAGCCAAAUGACACAGAGGGACAAACCACAACUUUUUGUUUGGAUAUAAAACAAUGAUGGCAUUUGGGAAAUUAAAGGGGACACCAAAGGGGACACCACCAACAACAUACAGUAUGGUAAAAGUGAUCAACCCCAGGGCACUUCCAUUUCAUUUUAUUUUAUUUUAUUUCGUCUUUUUAGGGCCACACCCUAUGGAAGGUCCCAGGCUAAGGGUUGAAUUGGAGCUGCAGCUGCUGACCUAUGCCACAGCCACAGCAACACUGGAUCCUUAACCCACUGAGCAAGGCCUGGGAUCGAACCCUGAUCCUCAUGGGUACUAGUCAGGUUCGUUACAGCUGAGUCACAACAGGAGCGCCUCAUUUCCAUUUUAAAUGAAAGCCACAUUUUAUUCCAGGGGAAGCCCUCAAAAUUGUCUACAAUAUUCAAAAGUGGGAAAUAAGGUAACGAAAAGGAGGAGCCUCCUGAUAAACGUUGAAAACGUGCUCCAACUGUGCUCCUGGGGACUUAAGUGCUCCUGGGGAAAUUCUCAGGUGUUCACAUGCCUCUAAAAAUUCAGUCUGGAAAAAAAAAGAAAGAAAGAAAGAAAAACAAAGGGCCAUUUGGAGACUGAUAAAAAUCAGUAUCAUGACUUCCUCCAAAAAAAAAAAAAAUACACAGGGGUUUUAAUGAGCCAAGUGCUGAAAAUAAACUUGACUGAGGCAUGGGGUCAGUGUGACAGUGAGUGACAUUAAGUGAGUUUUGAGACUCUGAUGUGAGGUCACCCCCCUCGGGGGGGGGGGGCGGGGAUCAGGGGUCCCAUCCCUGAUGCCACAGGGGCAGGAAGGCCCCAGGGAUCCAGCACCUCCCUGAUAGCUUCUCUGCUUCCCUCUUCCUCGGGGCCAUGAGAUGGACACAAAGUUCACAGCUUAUUUCAGGCUGCUUUGCUACUUUUCAAGUUUUCCCUUUUAGUUCAGCGCUUGCACAACUUCUGUCAUCUGAAGGAAGGGCAGAAAGAAGAAAAAAAAAAAAAAAGUGGAAGAGGAAGGAAAGCAUUGCUAAAUGGGAAGUGGGCAAGUCAGUACAGCCUCCACCCCAAAUCUGUAGCAGCGGUGAAUCGUCUGACUUUGGUGACGCCUUUCAAGAACUUUCCCUGAGGCCAGAAAAAGGCUUCCUGGGGCUGCUUUCUGGACGGUUGGUUCUCAACCCAGUGGAGCAGUGGUGUCAUGUGCCUUGUAGUAAGGACCACCGUUUCCUAAAUACAAGACACAGCACUUGUGCCUCAAAAUGCUCCCCACAGGACGGAGGGUUCGCCUCGCCCCUGCUGGGCGCCGGGACACAUCCAGACACCCAGACGGGGCCACAGUGUGGCCAGGGUUGUGUUUCCAGAAACCCGAAGAGCCAGAAGCAAGAUCUUCUCUGAGUUUUAACAUGUCCCUUUCGGCCACACCUGCAGCAUAUGGAAGUUCCCAGGCCAGGGAUUGAACCAGAGCCUACAUAGAGACAAGCUAGAUCAUUAACCCACUGUGCCACAGUGGGAACUCCCUAACAUGUCUUUUGCUCUGACUCUUGUCGACAGUCAGUAUAGGACAGAGAAUGACCAAGGUUUUUGUCACCAAAAUGACUUCCUUCCUUUAUUAGGUCGAGGCAAGAGGGGAAAAAAAUUGGCAACUUCUGGAAUUGAGUGUCAGAUAUUCUGAAGCCUUCUCAUGUCUGUAAUCCCUUAGGGAAGAAGAGAAGUUGAGGCUGGAAGGGUCACUGAGAGACCAUGGCAGGGGCCACGA
RNAcentral lists this long non-coding RNA (3462 nucleotides) under Sus scrofa (pig). Its description in RNAcentral is "lncRNA (ENSSSCG00050004577.1)". Lineage: Eukaryota; Metazoa; Chordata; Mammalia; Artiodactyla; Suidae. The record is from RNAcentral.